GGCCCCGGCGGCGGGGGUUCGGCGGGUCCCGAUCUGCACCAAGCGAGCCCGAGGCGGCGGCGGCGCGGCAGAGCAGAGCAGAGGAGCGGCGCCCCGAGGCGGAUCACCCGCUCGCUCGCACAGGAGAGACGCUACGGCCUACGGGUGGUGGAGAGGAGGAGGAGGAGGAGGAGGCGUGGCGGCUACGGCUUCUCUCUCGCUGGCUGACUGGAUGGUGGUGGUGGAGGUGGAG
Molecule: long non-coding RNA, 232 nt
Filed under: Oryza brachyantha (malo sina)
Lineage: Eukaryota; Viridiplantae; Streptophyta; Magnoliopsida; Poales; Poaceae
Description: long non-coding RNA (OBRA_LNC000345)
Source: RNAcentral